Callithrix jacchus (white-tufted-ear marmoset) is the source of this 102-nucleotide small nucleolar RNA. Lineage: Eukaryota; Metazoa; Chordata; Mammalia; Primates; Cebidae. The record is from Ensembl.
AUCCUUUUGUAGUUCGUGAGCAUGAUGAUUGGGCGUUCACAUGCUUGUAUGAGAUGUGCCACCUUGAAUCUUGUUAUGAUUCGGCAUAUUACCCAUCUGACC